CGAGCGGAUGAAGGGAGCUUGCUCCUGGAUUCAGCGGCGGACGGGUGAGUAAUGCCUAGGAAUCUGCCUGGUAGUGGGGGAUAACGUCCGGAAACGGGCGCUAAUACCGCAUACGUCCUGAGGGAGAAAGUGGGGGAUCUUCGGACCUCACGCUAUCAGAUGAGCCUAGGUCGGAUUAGCUAGUUGGUGGGGUAAAGGCCUACCAAGGCGACGAUCCGUAACUGGUCUGAGAGGAUGAUCAGUCACACUGGAACUGAGACACGGUCCAGACUCCUACGGGAGGCAGCAGUGGGGAAUAUUGGACAAUGGGCGAAAGCCUGAUCCAGCCAUGCCGCGUGUGUGAAGAAGGUCUUCGGAUUGUAAAGCACUUUAAGUUGGGAGGAAGGGCAGUAAGUUAAUACCUUGCUGUUUUGACGUUACCAACAGAAUAAGCACCGGCUAACUUCGUGCCAGCAGCCGCGGUAAUACGAAAGGUGCAAGCGUUAAUCGGAAUCACUGGGCGUAAAGCGCGCGUAGGUGGUCCAGCAAGUUGGAUGUGAAAUCCCCGGGCUCAACCUGGGAACUGCAUCCAAAAC
This 575-nucleotide ribosomal RNA is filed under the name Pseudomonas sp. VK12. Its description in RNAcentral is "bacterial SSU rRNA". It matches the Rfam family "Bacterial small subunit ribosomal RNA", at positions 63 to 633 of the family's 1533-position model. Lineage: Bacteria; Pseudomonadati; Pseudomonadota; Gammaproteobacteria; Pseudomonadales; Pseudomonadaceae. The record is from RNAcentral.